GACGAACGCUGGCGGCGUGCAUAAUACAUGCAAGUCGAACGCUGAAGAGAGGAGCUUGCUCUUCUUGGAUGAGUUGCGCACGGGUGAGUAACGCGUAGGUAACCUGCCUUGUAGCGGGGGAUAACUAUUGGAAACGAUAGCUAAUACCGCAUAACAAUGGAUGACACAUGUCAUUUAUUUGAAAGGGGCAAUUGCUCCACUACAAGAUGGACCUGCGUUGUAUUAGCUAGUAGGUGAGGUAAUGGCUCACCUAGGCGACGAUACAUAGCCGACCUGAGAGGGUGAUCGGCCACACUGGGACUGAGACACGGCCCAGACUCCUACGGGAGGCAGCAGUAGGGAAUCUUCGGCAAUGGGGGCAACCCUGACCGAGCAACGCCGCGUGAGUGAAGAAGGUUUUCGGAUCGUAAAGCUCGGUUGUAAGUCAAGAACGGGUGUGAGAGUGGAAAGUUCACACUGUGACGGUAGCUGACCAGAAAGGGACGGCUAACUACGUG
RNAcentral lists this ribosomal RNA (497 nucleotides) under uncultured bacterium. Its description in RNAcentral is "partial 16S ribosomal RNA". It matches the Rfam family "Bacterial small subunit ribosomal RNA", at positions 28 to 507 of the family's 1533-position model. The record is from RNAcentral.